UACGGAGGGAGCUAGCGUUGUUCGGAAUUACUGGGCGUAAAGCGCACGUAGGCGGCUACUCAAGUCAGGGGUGAAAGCCCGGGGCUCAACCCCGGAACUGCCCUUGAAACUAGGUAGCUAGAAUCUUGGAGAGGUCAGUGGAAUUCCGAGUGUAGAGGUGAAAUUCGUAGAUAUUCGGAAGAACACCAGUGGCGAAGGCGACUGACUGGACAAGUAUUGACGCUGAGGUGCGAAAGCGUGGGGAGCAAACAGG
RNAcentral lists this ribosomal RNA (253 nucleotides) under uncultured bacterium. Its description in RNAcentral is "partial 16S ribosomal RNA". It matches the Rfam family "Bacterial small subunit ribosomal RNA", at positions 524 to 776 of the family's 1533-position model. The record is from RNAcentral.